ACAGCAUUAAGACUCUUUAGUAUAUUCUUAUAACUAAUUAUACACUAAUCAAGUCACAGAGACUGUGACACCAAGAGCUAUUGCUUGUUGUUUGAUUUGAUGUUAUUUUUUUCCUCCCACACACCCACAUUAUUGAAGAUGCAUGAAGACAACUGACAAGUAUAUUUACACAUACCAUAGAAAAUAGGUUCUUCGGCUCUACAAAAUCAGCCAUAUUUUAUUGUUUCUUUACCUCGACAUGGAGGGCAUGACUUUACAAGAAUAGCUUGAUGGAUAACUGCAAAGUAGUAUGAAAAAAAAAAAUGUGGUUUCCCAGAUGUGAUUAGAAUAAAGGGAACGAAUCACAGGCACCGACCACAUUUUUCCCCCUCUCCUUGCACACUUCUGCCCAGCCAGCUUUCUGCCACCUGGCUUUUAUGGCCUCUCGACUCUAUAUUGGCUUGCCUAAUGGUCGUGGAAACCUGGCAUGGGGAAGGGCCUGGCAAAAGCUUCUACGCGGUGGCGCAGUUCGGCGAUGCGAGCCACUGUCUCUGGGUCCUGAAGAAGGAAGUUCUUGAAGUCUUGGAGCUUUCCUGGAGAAGACAACAGAGGAGAGAGGGGAGAGGGAAGGCUCAGUUUUCAAUUUCUUUACUUCCUUCUUUUUUUUUUCUCCCCACCACAGGCCUCCCCUUAUGUUUCAGUAUCCAACAAUUUAAUAUUGCACUUUUGUUGCCUUUCUCAUAAGUGCAUAGCUUCAAAUUAUGAUUUAAAAAGAAAAGACAAAAAAAGGCUACACUGUAAUCUGUCUCCCUUCUCACAGUUGACUCGCCUGUCUUUUUCUUGACGUCCAAGGCAAUCUUGAAGCCCUCGUCCAUGAACUCGACAACCUGCACAAAGUCAGCUUCUUUGAACUGUCUGGAGGUCAGGGCUGGAGCACCUGUGGCCGAGAAGAACACAAAAUCUGCAGCUUGAAAUACAAAGGAGAACAGUGAUACAUUCUGGGACAAAGUCACAGAAAACCACAACAACAACAAACUCAAUCUGGCAGUGCUCCUCCGCGGUCCAGGACACCUUGCCUACCAUGAAUCAGUGGAGGGCUGACCUUGAGUGCUAGGCAUUAAGGUGCCAAAUUAUGUCACUGUCACUGACUGGUCAUGUCGCUACAUGCAGAUUGGGGUCUGGUCCAAGUGUUUACCGAGGGGAGGGUGACAUCUGGUGAGCAAAGUGCACUGAGGCUUCAGGAAACUGGUUCCAUCUGUGGUUUUCUGACCACAACCCACAGAGAGGAAGCAAUUUUUGUUGGGAUAUGGGUAUGUGUGAUCCAGCUGUGACUCAGAAUGAAAGACAAGGACGGCAGUUCCAUCUUUAUUAAGGCCACAUUUUGAAUUUGCGUCGUAACCUGAAGUUUCAUCCACUCGAUUUGAUUCAAAAGUGUUGAGUUCUUGUUAGCUAGCUAGUUCUGGCAUAUAAAGGUUUUUAAAGGGAAAGGAAAUUUAUUUUAAGAUACAUUUAUGC
Molecule: long non-coding RNA, 1494 nt
Organism: Micropterus dolomieu (smallmouth bass)
Lineage: Eukaryota; Metazoa; Chordata; Actinopteri; Centrarchiformes; Centrarchidae
Exons: 3
Source: RefSeq, a predicted model, not a curated record